This 30-nucleotide non-coding RNA is filed under the name Mus musculus (house mouse). The record is from RNAcentral. Lineage: Eukaryota; Metazoa; Chordata; Mammalia; Rodentia; Muridae.
ACCAUUUCCAGCCAGUUCUACAUUUUGCAC